GCGUACCUUUUGUAUAAUGGGUCAGCGACUUAUAUUCUGUAGCAAGGUUAACCGAAUAGGGGAGCCGAAGGGAAACCGAGUCUUAACGGGCGUUAAGUUGCAGGGUAUAGACCCGAAACCCGGUGAUCUAGCCAUGGGCAGGUUGAAGGUUGGGUAACACUAACUGGAGGACCGAACCGACUAAUGUUGAAAAAUUAGCGGAUGACUUGUGGCUGGGGGUGAAAGGCCAAUCAAACCGGGAGAUAGCUGGUUCUCCCCGAAAGCUAUUUAGGUAGCGCCUCGUGAAUUCAUCUCCGGGGGUAGAGCACUGUUUCGGCAAGGGGGUCAUCCCGACUUACCAACCCGAUGCAAACUGCGAAUACCGGAGAAUGUUAUCACGGGAGACACACGGCGGGUGCUAACGUCCGUCGUGAAGAGGGAAACAACCCAGACCGCCAGCUAAGGUCCCAAAGUCAUGGUUAAGUGGGAAACGAUGUGGGAAGGCCCAGACAGCCAGGAUGUUGGCUUAGAAGCAGCCAUCAUUUAAAGAAAGCGUAAUAGCUCACUGGUCGAGUCGGCCUGCGCGGAAGAUGUAACGGGGCUAAACCAUGCACCGAAGCUGCGGCAGCGACACUGUGUGUUGUUGGGUAGGGGAGCGUUCUGUAAGCCUGUGAAGGUGUCUGUGAGGAUGCUGGAGGUAUCAGAAGUGCGAAUGCUGACAUAAGUAACGAUAAAGCGGGUGAAAAGCCCGCUCGCCGGAAGACCAAGGGUUCCUGUCCAACGUUAAUCGGGGCAGGGUGAGUCGACCCCUAAGGCGAGGCCGAAAGGCGUAGUCGAUGGGAAACAGGUUAAUAUUCCUGUACUUGGUGUUACUGCGAAGGGGGGACGGAGAAGGCUAUGUUGGCCGGGCGACGGUUGUCCCGGUUUAAGCGUGUAGGCUGGUUUUCCAGGCAAAUCCGGAAAAUCAAGGCUGAGGCGUGAUGACGAGGCACUACGGUGCUGAAGCAACAAAUGCCCUGCUUCCAGGAAAAGCCUCUAAGCAUCAGGUAACAUCAAAUCGUACCCCAAACCGACACAGGUGGUCAGGUAGAGAAUACCAAGGCGCUUGAGAGAACUCGGGUGAAGGAACUAGGCAAAAUGGUGCCGUAACUUCGGGAGAAGGCACGCUGAUAUGUAGGUGAAGUCCCUCGCGGAUGGAGCUGAAAUCAGUCGAAGAUACCAGCUGGCUGCAACUGUUUAUUAAAAACACAGCACUGUGCAAACACGAAAGUGGACGUAUACGGUGUGACGCCUGCCCGGUGCCGGAAGGUUAAUUGAUGGGGUCAGCGCAAGCGAAGCUCUUGAUCGAAGCCCCGGUAAACGGCGGCCGUAACUAUAACGGUCCUAAGGUAGCGAAAUUCCUUGUCGGGUAAGUUCCGACCUGCACGAAUGGCGUAAUGAUGGCCAGGCUGUCUCCACCCGAGACUCAGUGAAAUUGAACUCGCUGUGAAGAUGCAGUGUACCCGCGGCAAGACGGAAAGACCCCGUGAACCUUUACUAUAGCUUGACACUGAACAUUGAGCCUUGAUGUGUAGGAUAGGUGGGAGGCUUUGAAGUGUGGACGCCAGUCUGCAUGGAGCCGACCUUGAAAUACCACCCUUUAAUGUUUGAUGUUCUAACGUGGACCCGUGAUCCGGGUUGCGGACAGUGUCUGGUGGGUAGUUUGACUGGGGCGGUCUCCUCCUAAAGAGUAACGGAGGAGCACGAAGGUUGGCUAAUCCUGGUCGGACAUCAGGAGGUUAGUGCAAUGGCAUAAGCCAGCUUGACUGCGAGCGUGACGGCGCGAGCAGGUGCGAAAGCAGGUCAUAGUGAUCCGGUGGUUCUGAAUGGAAGGGCCAUCGCUCAACGGAUAAAAGGUACUCCGGGGAUAACAGGCUGAUACCGCCCAAGAGUUCAUAUCGACGGCGGUGUUUGGCACCUCGAUGUCGGCUCAUCACAUCCUGGGGCUGAAGUAGGUCCCAAGGGUAUGGCUGUUCGCCAUUUAAAGUGGUACGCGAGCUGGGUUUAGAACGUCGUGAGACAGUUCGGUCCCUAUCUGCCGUGGGCGCUGGAGAACUGAGGGGGGCUGCUCCUAGUACGAGAGGACCGGAGUGGACGCAUCACUGGUGUUCGGGUUGUCAUGCCAAUGGCACUGCCCGGUAGCUAAAUGCGGAAGAGAUAAGUGCUGAAAGCAUCUAAGCACGAAACUUGCCCCGAGAUGAGUUCUCCCUGACCCUUUAAGGGUCCUGAAGGAACGUUGAAGACGACGACGUUGAUAGGCCGGGUGUGUAAGCGCAGCGAUGCGUUGAGCUAACCGGUACUAAUGAACCGUGAGGCUUAACCUU
RNAcentral lists this ribosomal RNA (2342 nucleotides) under Escherichia coli B84. Its description in RNAcentral is "bacterial LSU rRNA". It matches the Rfam family "Bacterial large subunit ribosomal RNA", at positions 599 to 2925 of the family's 2925-position model. The record is from RNAcentral. Lineage: Bacteria; Pseudomonadati; Pseudomonadota; Gammaproteobacteria; Enterobacterales; Enterobacteriaceae.